Molecule: long non-coding RNA, 2108 nt
Filed under: Sorghum bicolor (sorghum)
Lineage: Eukaryota; Viridiplantae; Streptophyta; Magnoliopsida; Poales; Poaceae
Description: long non-coding RNA (SBIC_LNC004002)
Rfam family: Bacterial large subunit ribosomal RNA (bases 1540-2108)
Source: RNAcentral
CCCCCACCUCUACCUAGCCACCACAGUCAAACAGUAACAGAAGUCGCUCGACUCUCUCCCUCUACACACGCACGCGAGAAGGAGAUGAAUGCCUCCAUCUCUCGCCAUUCCCUCUCUAGUCUCUCUCUCUCUCUCUACGUGCGAGCACAUCCUCUCUACCACACCUCCCUCUUCUGCAUGGAGGCAUAGAGGAGAUGGGCAUGCCUCGCUCUCUGGCAUGGAGGUGAGGAGACGAGUGCGACUCCCUCUCCGGUGUGGAUGCGAGGAGGAGACAGAGGCGUCCCUCUCUCUAUCUCUAUCUCUUCCCCUUGUUAUCUCCCUUAUUAUUUCCUCUCCCUCCCUUUGUGGAUCUAUGGGUGUGUAGGCCUAUGACCGACCCCUCCCUUUGUGGAUCAUCGAGUGUGGAGGCCUAUGAUCGGCUGAUAAUGGCGGCGAGACUCUAGAGCCGACAUGGAGGGCGACGGUACUAGGUACAUCUCUCUAUCUUCUUCCUUCCAAUCUUAUCUCCACCUCACCCACACUCUUCCCUACGUAGAUCUCAUGGCAAUGGGGAGGGAACAAUGAUAGUGGAGGUUGACGAGCUCUUGGAGGCGCGGACAUAGAGGAAACCACCGGGCUUCGGGCUGUGCAUGUUGAAGGGUCAGCGGGUGGCAUGUGUAGAUGAGACUAGCGAGCUUUGGGCAAUGUGUGCAUGUAGGAGCCUCGACAACGGCGACUCCAGAUGGUAUAGCAGGCCCUAGAAACUAGAGCAGACUCUAGAACCUAGAUCUUAAUUUUUUUAUUUAUAGAGAUGGCAUGGUAAUCCACUCGCCUCUAAAAAUACCAUUUUCCAAGGCAGAUCUUUUGGCCAUCUUCGUUAAAAACGAUUAACGGAGACGUUUGCUUUGAGGCGAGCACCAUUUCUGAUCGACUCACAGAAGUGUAAGUCGUAGUAUAUUGAACUUAUUGGUGAUGGGACAAGUGUCGAUUUCCUUAAUAACAAAUUUGUAGUUUGAAAAUAAAUAUAAUUCUAAACAUGACAAUUAGUCAAUUAUAACUAUACUAUUCAAUCAACAAGUACUUUGACAUGGUUCAUAACCUUAGGAAAAUAAGCAUCAGAGUUUGUUUGAUUUUUAGAAAAAUGAAAAGUCUUUAUUUUUGCUUGUGCAUGAGUCGCGCACUCAACCAAACAAAAUUAAAUUUUUGGCUGAAAAGCAAAAACUAUCAAAAAACGAACCAUUUUUUUGAGCCUAAUGUCAUUCUUUUAUAAUUGGUCCAAAACUGAAUCAAGUAAGUAGCCCCAAAAAUGACAUGCAUAACAUGACAACCAAUGAGAGCUCUAGAGUAUUGAAUUGUCCUCCAAGUUGGGCACACUAUUGGGCAAUGAAGACUUGGAUCCAAUGGUUCUCUAACCAGCUCUAGCAUGGCUCUUUAAGUUUUUGUGAGCACAGGAACAAAUUCAUAGGCCUUAUCAUGAUCGAAGGAAGGCAACAUCGAGGAGGGGUAGACCCUCAGUGAAGGCCCAGGACCCAGGACGCCACUACCAACAAACAAAGUCCUGCUCACGCCUCCAAGGAUCACUAGUGAGCGGGCCUUUGCUGACACUGAUGAAGGCUAUUGGUCCACCGCCUCUGAUGAGCGCAUGAGGCCUUGGCAGACCUUGAUUGUUAGGUCAAAUUACUGCCUUCAUGUUGAGAGACUCCCAAGAAACCUCAGGGUCCCAAUGGGCCUUCAUCAUGAAUCGAAAAGGGCCCAUGGGAGAGGGAAACAGCCCGGAUCACCAGCUAAGGCCCCUAAAUGACCGCUCAGUGAUAAAGGAGGUGGGGGUGCAAAGACAGCCAGGAGGUUUGCCUAGAAGCAGCCACCCUUUAAAGAGUGCGUAAUAGCUCACUGAUCGAGCGCCCUUGCGCUGAAGAUGAACGGGGCUAAGCGAUCUGCCGAAGCUGUGGGAUGUCAAAAUGCAUCGGUAGGGGAGCGUUCCGCCUUAGAGGGAAGCAAACGCGAAAGCGGGGGUCGACAAAGCGGAAGCGAGAAUGUCGGCUUGAGUAACAAAAACAUUGGUGAGAAUCCAAUGCCCCGAAAACCCAAGGUUUCCUCCGCAAGGUUCGUCCACGGAGGGUGAGUCAGGC